This is a transfer RNA of Camelus ferus (Wild Bactrian camel), 73 nucleotides long. It matches the Rfam family "tRNA". Rfam says of the family: Transfer RNA (tRNA) molecules are approximately 80 nucleotides in length. Their secondary structure includes four short double-helical elements and three loops (D, anti-codon, and T loops). Further hydrogen bonds mediate the characteristic L-shaped molecular structure. tRNAs have two regions of fundamental functional importance: the anti-codon, which is responsible for specific mRNA codon recognition, and the 3' end, to which the tRNAs corresponding amino acid is attached (by aminoacyl-tRNA synthetases). tRNAs cope with the degeneracy of the genetic code in two manners: having more than one tRNA (with a specific anti-codon) for a particular amino acid; and 'wobble' base-pairing, i.e. permitting non-standard base-pairing at the 3rd anti-codon position. The record is from Rfam. NCBI's taxonomy places the organism in Eukaryota, Metazoa, Chordata, Mammalia, Artiodactyla, Camelidae.
GAGGGUAUAGCUCAAGUGGUAGAGCACAUGCUUAGCAUGCAGGAGGUCCUGGGUUCAAUCCCCAGUACCUCCU